RNAcentral lists this long non-coding RNA (2128 nucleotides) under Homo sapiens (human). Its description in RNAcentral is "HSALNT0393962". The record is from RNAcentral. Lineage: Eukaryota; Metazoa; Chordata; Mammalia; Primates; Hominidae.
GGUUUAUUGGUGAUUCCAGUUUUCUCCUCUGGGGGUUGUUGAUAGGCUUUUGUCAUUUUUCUGUUUUUCUUAAUUGUAUCUAGGAAUUCUUUACACAGAGAUGCCACAAAGUUUAACUUUGGCCUCAGUACUCAGGAAAAGAUAUACUUGGUUUCAGCCUUGGCUUCAGGCUUUGAAAGACAGAGUAACAAAUAGCUACUUCUUUUCUGGCCCCUUCAUCAUCUGCUUGUUCAAUGGAGGUAGGACCACUCAAAUUACGAACAAGGUGUAGCCCUCGAAUUGGCUAUUAACAUCUGAAUACAUACUAAGUAUUCAUUUUCAAACUUAGGAGAGCAGUCUAGAUGUAACUUGGAAUAAAAACCUCCAUGGGCUUCUACAGGCUGUUAAAAUAUAAGCAUAUUUAUGUGUUUCAAUAAUAAAAUGUUGAAAUAUGCUGAUUUUGAAAGCUGUUAAUUUGCUGUACAAAAAUUAUUAAGAACUUUCAAACAGUUAAACAAUGUUAGCAGUUAUUAGGAAUAAGAGAGAGUGCAUUAGAUAGAUAACACUAACAAGAACAUAAUAUCCGUUUUCAGCCAGCAAAUGUUUAUAAAAUUUUAAAUGCUAAUAAAACAGGAGAAUAAUAGAAAUUAGAUUAUAUCACAAUGCUAAUCUUUAGAAGCAUUAAGAGCUAUAUUUAAUUUUUUGUUAUUUAAUUCAGCUUAGGCCAGAGUCUUUCAAGAAAAAAAGUCUUAUUAGAGAAGUCUUCAUAUCUCGUGAGGAUGAAUUAAAAGCAGAAUCUCAACUUUGCUACCUUUAAAUGUCACGGAGAGAAAAAACUGCAAAACCAUGUGCAACAAUAUCCAUGAUAAAUCAUCUUUGAUCUCAACAUAACGGAGACUAUAAGGAGUAUAAAGACUAGAAGAAAGAGUAGAAGGUGAUCCACAAUCAAUUCAGAACCUGGUCUUCUAUGGUGGCUCACAGUUCCUGCACCCUACAAUAUCGUGCACCUCUCUCUAAAUCUACUGAAACGUGCAGCCUUCUUUUGGAAGAGAAAGAUUCUGAUAUUCAUUAACAAUUAAAUGAAUCUUCAAGAAGCCCAAAUAGUGAUUAUAUUUGAAUAAAUAUUUUAAUGGGAAAAAUAAGGGGGAAGGACUACACUCCUUGCUUCCUUUGGAUUUGAACUUGGCCUGGUGACUUGCCUGAGCCAGUGUGACAGAUGAGAAAGCAGAUGCCACAGACUACUUUGGUGCCUUGUUUUUCCUCCAUCAGACUGGCUCUUAGUAUUUCAGAUGGUGGAAGCUCUGUGAGUCUGGAUUUGAGUAAGUAUCACAUAGAGUGGGGCCUCAAGCUGGUCUAUGAAAGGACAAGGAUCAAUAAAUUAACCUAUGUUUCAGCAACAGAGUUUGGACGUAGCUGUUUCUACAGUGUAACUUAGCCCAUCCCAUCCAACACAGUGGGCAUGCUGAAAAUGAGUAUAUUCAUUUGCUGGGGCUGUCAUAACAAGAUACCACAGACUGAGUGGUUCAAACAGCGGACACUUACUGUUUCAUAGUUCUGAAAGACAGAAGUCCAAGAUUAAAGUGUCUGUAGGGUUGAUUUCUUCUGAGGCCUCUCCUUUUCUUGCAAUUGGUCACAUACUCGCUAUGUUCUCAGGUGAUCAUUCCUCUGUGCAGGAGAAUAUGUGGUUUCUGUGUGUUUGAAUUUCCUUUUUUAAAAGUCAAACUAGAUUAGGGCCCACCCUAUUGUCCUCAUUUUAACAUAAUCACCUCUUUAAAGGCCUUAUCUCCAAAUAUAGUUGCAUUCUGAGUUAUUGGGGUUUAGGACUCCAACAUAUGAAGUUUGGAGCAACACAGUUUCAUCCAUAACAGUGAAAAAUAUCAUAAUCUGUUUAAGAUGUUGAGAAACAUAUGAACAAGUGAAGGCAAUAGAAGCAAUAAAUUGGUUUGGUUGUCUGCCCUGGUCUCCAUCAGAAAGUAAAGCUAUGACUUGAGAAGUUUUAAUUUGAUUUAUUGGAUUAGUUUUAGUUUUGCUUCCUGCCUAUUGCUGUUUAAGAAAAUGCUGGAGAUAGGUGGCGCGGUGGCUCACGCCUGUAAUCCCAGCACUUUGGGAGGCUGAGGCCAGCGGAUCACGAGGUCAGGAGAUCGAGACC